RNAcentral lists this ribosomal RNA (715 nucleotides) under uncultured Bacilli bacterium. RNAcentral's name for it is "bacterial SSU rRNA". It matches the Rfam family "Bacterial small subunit ribosomal RNA", at positions 57 to 753 of the family's 1533-position model. Lineage: Bacteria; Bacillati; Bacillota; Bacilli. The record is from RNAcentral.
GCAAGUCGAGCGGACCGACGGGAGCUUGCUCCCUUAGGUCAGCGGCGGACGGGUGAGUAACACGUGGGUAACCUGCCUGUAAGACUGGGAUAACUCCGGGAAACCGGGGCUAAUACCGGAUGCUUGAUUGAACCGCAUGGUUCAAUCAUAAAAGGUGGCUUUCAGCUACCACUUACAGAUGGACCCGCGGCGCAUUAGCUAGUUGGUGAGGUAACGGCUCACCAAGGCGACGAUGCGUAGCCGACCUGAGAGGGUGAUCGGCCACACUGGGACUGAGACACGGCCCAGACUCCUACGGGAGGCAGCAGUAGGGAAUCUUCCGCAAUGGACGAAAGUCUGACGGAGCAACGCCGCGUGAGUGAUGAAGGUUUUCGGAUCGUAAAACUCUGUUGUUAGGGAAGAACAAGUACCGUUCGAAUAGGGCGGCACCUUGACGGUACCUAACCAGAAAGCCACGGCUAACUACGUGCCAGCAGCCGCGGUAAUACGUAGGUGGCAAGCGUUGUCCGGAAUUAUUGGGCGUAAAGCGCGCGCAGGCGGUUUCUUAAGUCUGAUGUGAAAGCCCCCGGCUCAACCGGGGAGGGUCAUUGGAAACUGGGGAACUUGAGUGCAGAAGAGGAGAGUGGAAUUCCACGUGUAGCGGUGAAAUGCGUAGAGAUGUGGAGGAACACCAGUGGCGAAGGCGACUCUCUGGUCUGUAACUGACGCUGAGGCG